This 489-nucleotide ribosomal RNA is filed under the name uncultured bacterium. RNAcentral describes it as "partial 16S ribosomal RNA". It matches the Rfam family "Bacterial small subunit ribosomal RNA", at positions 28 to 507 of the family's 1533-position model. The record is from RNAcentral.
GACGAACGCUGGCGGCGUGCUUAACACAUGCAAGUCGAACGGAAAGGCCCCCACCUUGGUGGGGGUGCUCGAGUGGCGAACGGGUGAGUAACACGUGGGUGAUCUGCCCUGUACUUCGGGAUAAGCUUGGGAAACUGGGUCUAAUACCGGAUAGGACCAUGGUUUAGUGUCUCAUGGUGGAAAAAUUAUUGUUUUGGUGCAGGAUGAGCUCGCGGCCUAUCAGCUUGUUGUUGGGGUAAUGGCCUACCAAGGCGUCGACGGGUAGCCGGCCUGAGAGGGUGGCCGGCCAGAUUGUGAGUGAGGGACGGCACAGACACCUACGGGAGGCAGAAGGGGGGAAUAUUGCACAAUGGGCGCAAGCCUGAUGCAGCGACGCCGCGUGGGGGAUGACGGCCUUCGGGUUGUAACCUCCUUUCGUUAGGGACGAAGCCACACCUUUUUUGGGUGUGGUGACGGUACCUUUGUGAAGAAGCACCGGCUAACUACGUG